Molecule: unclassified non-coding RNA, 2046 nt
Filed under: Rhopalosiphum maidis (corn leaf aphid)
Lineage: Eukaryota; Metazoa; Arthropoda; Insecta; Hemiptera; Aphididae
Description: fatty acid 2-hydroxylase, transcript variant X1
Source: RNAcentral
UCGGCCAGCGGUUUAUUUUGUAUAGUUUAAUAGUUAUUACUUAGUACGCUCGCGCUACAUACCAUUUACCUGUAAUGUUGGUCGUGGGCGCCGCGUGUGCGUUUGGUUGAGUGCGAUAUUUUUGUUUGCCCGCGAAUUCACUUCGUCGGAAAUCGGUAGCCUCCGUUGGUCGAUCGUUAAAACGGAUAUAUCGUAAUAAGUUCGUCCUCGCUGAUUUUUUUUUUUUUUUUUUAAAUCGUUUUUCGUCUGCUCGUUAAAAACAUAAUAUUUAACCGUUAUCAAUUUAUCAUCCGUGUGGUGUGGAUUACAAUACGUGAUAGCGGUGAACAAUAAUAAAAAAGCAACACAUUUUCGGGCGGGUCUGCGAGGCGCGAGUGCAUCCUGUGAUAAGAGAUAAAGCGGUACGAGCCUCAAUCGCGGCCGGUUGUUGUUUCGUAACGUAAUUAUUUAGGUACCAAGUGACCAGUGUUAAUAAUUAUAAAAAUAAUGCUAUAAAUUUUUUCACAUUUUUUAGUACUUUGUUUUCCUUUUACACUUUGCCGUUGAACGAAUGUGCGUUGUGCGACAGUCGUCGAGUUGUAUUUAUCUAGCCGUUCGUAUUUAGUAUAGUAUUAAACCGGUUUGAAUGUGUGCCCAUCGAAUUUAUUUUUUUAAACGACCCAAGUGAAGCGAAUCCAAUAACGACGACGACCCCACCAACAAACUCGUUGCCGAACCGUCUUUACCGUACAAUUACGGGUAAUGGACGCGUGAACUUUACAACCACCGUGUACUCGGGCAUAUACCCACAAGAUAAUGUCCACGGCGCCGUUCGUGGUCAAGCACGAUGGGAAGAAGCACAAUAUUGAACAUUUUUUGCGCUUCCACCCGGGUGGCACCAACACAUUGUCAUUUCUGAAGAACGCCGAUGUCACCGAUCGGCUAUUGGCUACUCACCACUCUGCUGCUGCAUACGAGUUGCUCAAGGAUUAUAGAGUAGACGAGGAAGAUGUACACAAGCAUAUUAGAGAGGAUGGCGAUUUAGAGAGUCUUGUAGAUUGGAAUCGACCCAUGUUUUGGCAAGUUGGGUCGUUAGGCCCAAAGUACAAAGAAUGGGUAUUGGCUCCUGUUGAUCGAAAAUUGAGAUUGUUCGGCUCCGACUUCAUCGAAUCGCUUACCAUCACUUCAUGGUAUAUGGUACCAUCGAUUUGGAUACCUGUGAUGUUUUACCUAAUAUUCAUUGGUUAUCAAAGGUUAAGAAGUUCAUUAACCAGCACAAUAGAUCAAACAAUUUAUUCAGAUUAUUUUUCGAUAGUAACAUUGGUCAUAUGUUCAACUAUUUUGGGCUUACUUUUGUGGCCUCUCAUUGAGUACACCAUUCAUCGUUGGUUAUUUCAUUUACAGCCUCCAGACAACUCACCUUUACUUAUCACAUUGCAUUUUGGCAUUCACGGAUUACAUCACAAGGUGCCAUUUGACGACCGACGGUUAUUGUUUCCGCCGGGACCAGCCGCAGUACUUAUAUCGGCUGCGUACGCUAUAUACUUGAUGCUUUUUCCUCAUUGGAUGGCGCCGCUGGUAUUGGCUGGUAUGAUUUCGGGCUAUGUAACUUAUGAUUUAAUACAUUUCUACUUACACUACGGAUGUCCCAGGGAAGGCUCGUACCUGUACACAAUGAAAAGAUACCACAACCAACAUCAUUUCGCGCACCACGAAAGCGGUUUCGGUAUCAGCAGCCAAUUUUGGGACCACAUAUUCGGCACAGCAAUUGCACUGAAAAAGCUUAGCCGAUGUUUAAAAUGGUACUAACCUGCUACCUGUAAACUCGUGCCUUAUAAAUUAUAAUAUUAUAUAUACAAAAAUGAAAGAAAUUAAAUUAUAUGAAAGAAAUCACACCAAACUCGGAGUGCCUAUCUAAUGAAACUCAAAUAUUACAAUUAAUAAUUUAACAAAUAAUGAUCCGCUCACGGAAGCAGUCAUAACACGACGGUAUAUUAUAUAUAUAUAUGUAACUUGUCUAAUUUUGUUAUGCAUAAAAAAUAUAUAUAUUAUAAAUAUAUAAAUGUA